AAAAAAAAAAAAAAAAAAAAACAGAGAAGGACUCCAACCCCCAACUCCCUUCUCGGCCAUCUCCCUCUCUCUCAAUUUUUCCACCAUCACAUUCCACAGAAACUCUCUCUCGGUUCACUUUCCAUACACAAGCACACCAAGCACAAAAACCCUCUCAAUCUCAACCACUCACAAAACCAAAAAAAAAAAACAAAGAGAGAAAAAGAGAAGAAACACUCUUCACUCCCCAACUCUCAUUUUCGGCCCUUCGCCCCAAAAUUUCCAACAUAACUCCACACACAUUUCUCCCACAAUUCAAGUACAAAAAAGAGAAGCAAGCAAGAUACGGCCAAGGUUCAAAAGUUUUACCAAAAGCAUCAACUGAAGAAUUGCCAUAUUUAUUGAGGUAUAUUUUCAGUUUUUUUAUCAUAUUAAAACCAUGCUUCAUUGCUUAAUUUUCUUUUGCUUUCAUUGGUUUCCUUUGUUGAUUGAGUUGCUGAAAUUUGGGAUAAGCCAUGAAUAAAAGUUAAGAAAAGAGAAAUGGCCUUGAAAAUGCCUUGUUUGUAUUUGAUAAAAUGCCACAAUGAAAAUAUGAGUUAAGUUAGUGAAU
RNAcentral lists this long non-coding RNA (589 nucleotides) under Coffea arabica (coffee). Its description in RNAcentral is "long non-coding RNA (CARA_LNC008236)". The record is from RNAcentral. Lineage: Eukaryota; Viridiplantae; Streptophyta; Magnoliopsida; Gentianales; Rubiaceae.